This 29-nucleotide small RNA is filed under the name Bombyx mori (domestic silkworm). RNAcentral describes it as "ovarian small RNA-9683". Lineage: Eukaryota; Metazoa; Arthropoda; Insecta; Lepidoptera; Bombycidae. The record is from RNAcentral.
UUGAACCUCACUGAAAACUCCUGCCGCUC